Molecule: RNA transcript, 2284 nt
Organism: Chenopodium quinoa (quinoa)
Lineage: Eukaryota; Viridiplantae; Streptophyta; Magnoliopsida; Caryophyllales; Amaranthaceae
Gene name: transcription factor HY5-like
Exons: 7
Source: RefSeq, a predicted model, not a curated record
UUAUUGUCAUCAUCCAAGAAUAAAAGUUCCAAUGAGUUUGCCCUUGUCCCUCAACAUUCAACAACCAAAUUCAUCACAAUUUAAUAAGGUUAAUUUUGUAAUUUCAUAAACAACAUGUCCCAAAAAAACCCAAAGUCAAUUUGUAUUCUGUCCUCCAUGGCUUCAUACCCUUUUCAACCAGCACAUGUCCACGUCAGAAAAUCAUCCCAUUAUUAUUAUUCCACAUCUCAAAAAAAAUAAAAAUAAUAAUAUUCACAAAUCAAUCACAACCCUUGAUUUCCUCCCUUCCUCUCUCCAAAUCAACGGUUCUAAAACAUCCACGAUCCUCUUCUUCAAACCUUUGAUUACUUAAAUGUGUGUAUGGCUAUAUAACCUCCACGUUCCUUCUUUCUCCACCGUUGAUCAAGAACACCCUCAUCCAACGGCUCAGAUUCAGUAUCUCCUCCAUCUUCCCAAAUGUUAUUACUCUUUUGAGUAAACUCUGGAAAUAUCCCGCCUUUUCUCUUUCCAAAAAAUACAGAUGAAGUCAAGAAAGAAGAAGGAAAAUCAGAGGAUAACAAAAACACUUUUUAUUUUAUUAAUUUAAUUUAAUUUGAUUACAUCAUUUUAUUAUAAUUAAAAUUAGAAUUAAUAAAUUUGUAUUAUUAAAAACGUUGGAAAAUAUGCAAGAACAGGCUACAACAAGUGCUACUUCUGCUGCUGCUAAUUCUUUGCCUUCUAGUAGUGAGAGAUCUUCUGGCUCUGCCCUUCAACUUGAUCAUAAAGAAGGUGUGGAGAGUGAUGAUGAAAUCCGGAGAGUACCAGAGAUGGGAGGUGAACCAGGAGUAAAUUCAGCUUCUGGCCGCGACACCAGUUCUGCAGCCGGUCCAGACCGGGUUCAAGCAUCAGGACAGAGCCAAAGGAAGAGGGGUAGAAGCCCUGCUGACAAAGAAAGCAAACGUUUGAAGAGGUUGUUGAGGAAUAGAGUUUCAGCUCAGCAAGCAAGAGAAAGAAAGAAGGCAUAUUUGAGUGAUUUAGAAACAAGGGUUAAAGACUUGGAGAACAAAAACUCUGAGUUGGAAGAGAGAUUAUCUACUUUGCAAAAUGAGAAUCAGAUGCUUAGACAUAUACUGAAGAACACAACGGCAGGCCGUAGAGGAGGUGGAUCUAAUGGUGAUGCAUCCCUGUGACAUUACGAAACAAUACAACCUUUCCAUUAAAGUUACCCUUACGCAGGGAUUCAGAUUUCGGAUAGCGUUUUAGCACAUACAACAAAUGAAGAUACUGAAUUAGGCUAUGUUUGGCACACACAAAAGCUACCUUGUUGGAGUACGUAGCUGUUUAUGGUCAUCGGUCAUGAGUAGCUUUUGCGAAGCUUGGGGCUACUUGAAAGAUCAUGAAUGGCCGCUUUUGGAAUUAGGAGGCUUGUUAACUUUCUUUGGUGUAUGCCAAACAAUGCCUUGAAUAUUAAAUGUGAGUUAAAAUAUAAACACCAACCGUGUUGUACAUAGGCUUGGGAUGCUCUUGGUGGCGAAAAUACACGAGCACCCAGAAACACGAAGGCUUAAAGGGCAGGAUCCGAAAGAUGGUCAAUUUCUAAUUCGACAUGAUAAGGGCAGUGCCAUUGUUCUGAAGGCAUGUGUUGUACUGAAAAUUAAUCAUGUUUCGUUUAUACUUGGAGAAUUGAAGCUUCCAAUCAUUGAGUGAACGGUUAAUGUCUCCAGAGAUUCGUUUUAAUGGCUGGUCAUGGAAAUUGGAUUUACGUCCAAAAGGGGACUCUUAUGUGAAGGGAGAAUACUCUCAUUGUAUCUGCAGCUUGAAAAUAGCUCUAAACUGACUCAUGGUAACAAACUGUAUGUUGAAUAUGUUCUUCGCGUAAAAAAUCAACGCCAAGGACAAGACUGCCAACAACCCGUUGAUAAAUGGUUUUCUGCAAGUUGUUUCGACUGGGGGUUUAGAAGCUUUCUUUCUCUCAUAGUUCUAAAUGAUCCUUGAGAGGGCUACUUAGCAGACGAGACUAUAGUUAUUGAACUUCAUAUUUAGAAGAUGAUUUUGCUGAGAGAUCUGGAGUCUGAUGUCAACUAGAUAGGAGUAAGGAGAGCUUUAAGCAUGUCCAACAAGCUAGAAACAAUUCCGCGAUUUAAUUUCAUUGUUCUUAAUACCAUGUGAAAUGGUUCAAUAGUGCAAUUUGCAAAGCAACUGAUGCGUCUUGAUGUAAUGGUAGCAUUACAACAUUAACAUAGGUGUUUCAAUAUCUUUCCUUUUUAUUUACUAUUUUAAUUUAUAAACAAAUACAGUUAAUUAC